CUGGCGGCAUGCUUUACACAUGCAAGUCGAACGGCAGCACGAAAGAGCUUGCUCUUUUGGUGGCGAGUGGCGAACGGGUGAGUAAUACAUUGGAACGUACCGAGUAAUGGGGGAUAACUGUCCGAAAGGAUGGCUAAUACCGCAUACGCUCUGAGGAGGAAAGCGGGGGACCUUCGGGCCUCGCGUUAUUCGAGCGGCCAAUGUCUGAUUAGCUAGUUGGUGGGGUAAAGGCCUACCAAGGCGACGAUCAGUAGUGGGUCUGAGAGGAUGAUCCGCCACACUGGGACUGAGACACGGCCCAGACUCCUACGGGAGGCAGCAGUGGGGAAUUUUGGACAAUGGGCGAAAGCCUGAUCCAGCCAUGCCGCGUGUCUGAAGAAGGCCUUCGGGUUGUAAAGGACUUUUGUCAGGGAAGAAAGGGUUUGGGUUAAUACCCUGAGCUUAUGAC
This 448-nucleotide ribosomal RNA is filed under the name uncultured Neisseria sp. RNAcentral describes it as "bacterial SSU rRNA". It matches the Rfam family "Bacterial small subunit ribosomal RNA", at positions 36 to 473 of the family's 1533-position model. Lineage: Bacteria; Pseudomonadati; Pseudomonadota; Betaproteobacteria; Neisseriales; Neisseriaceae. The record is from RNAcentral.